CGAAUUAGGUUACUGCGCUCCACUAAAGCCAGUUACCGCGGUUCAUAAGUUCCCCAACUUAAUGAACCUUUGAAAAACCGCCUGCCAGGGCGGUUUUUCUU
Molecule: non-coding RNA, 101 nt
Organism: Ancylostoma duodenale
Lineage: Eukaryota; Metazoa; Nematoda; Chromadorea; Rhabditida; Ancylostomatidae
Source: Rfam